Molecule: ribosomal RNA, 385 nt
Filed under: uncultured bacterium
Lineage: Bacteria
Description: bacterial SSU rRNA
Rfam family: Bacterial small subunit ribosomal RNA
Source: RNAcentral
UAGGGAAUCUUCCACAAUGGGCGAAAGCCUGAUGGAGCAACGCCGCGUGUGUGAUGAAGGCUUUCGGGUCGUAAAGCACUGUUGUAUGGGAAGAACAGCUAGAGUAGGGAAUGACUUUAGUUUGACGGUACCAUACCAGAAAGGGACGGCUAAAUACGUGCCAGCAGCCGCGGUAAUACGUAUGUCCCGAGCGUUAUCCGGAUUUAUUGGGCGUAAAGCGAGCGCAGACGGUUAAUUAAGUCUGAUGUGAAAGCCCGGAGCUCAACUCCGGAAAGGCAUUGGAAACUGGUUAACUUGAGUGCAGUAGAGGUAAGUGGAACUCCAUGUGUAGCGGUGGAAUGCGUAGAUAUAUGGAAGAACACCAGCGGCGAAGGCGGCUUACUGG